CGGAGGGGGCAAGCGUUGUUCGGAAUUAUUGGGCGUAAAGGGCUCGUAGGCGGACCAGUUAGUCUGGCGUGAAAUCUCCAUCGCUUAACGAGGAGAGGUCGCUGGAAACUGCUGGUCUGGAGUACGGCAGAGGACCAUGGAAUUCCAGGUGUAGCGGUGGAAUGCGUAGAUAUCUGGAAGAACACCGGUGGCGAAGGCGGUGGUCUGGGCCGUGACUGACGCUGAGGAGCGAAAAGCCAGGGGAGCGAACGGGAUUAGAUACCCCGGUAGUCCUGGCUGUAAACGUUGGAUACUAGGUGUGGGGGGUAUCGACCCUCCCGUGCCGAGUUAACACAUUAAGUAUCCCGCCUGGGGAGUACGGCCGCAAGGUUG
RNAcentral lists this ribosomal RNA (372 nucleotides) under uncultured organism. RNAcentral describes it as "bacterial SSU rRNA". It matches the Rfam family "Bacterial small subunit ribosomal RNA", at positions 526 to 896 of the family's 1533-position model. The record is from RNAcentral.